Molecule: ribosomal RNA, 253 nt
Filed under: uncultured bacterium
Lineage: Bacteria
Description: partial 16S ribosomal RNA
Rfam family: Bacterial small subunit ribosomal RNA
Source: RNAcentral
UACGUAGGGUGCAAGCGUUGUCCGGAAUUAUUGGGCGUAAAGAGCUCGUAGGCGGUUCGUUGCGUCGUGCGUGAAAGACCCCGGCUCAACUGGGGAGGGUCGUGCGAUACGGGCGAACUGGAGGCCAGUAGGGGGAUGCGGAAUUCCGGGUGUAGUGGUGGAAUGCGUAGAGAUCCGGAGGAACACCAGCGGCGAAGGCGGCAUCCUGGACUGGUCCUGACACUCAUGAGCGAAAGCGUGGGGAGCGAUCCGG